This 1907-nucleotide long non-coding RNA is filed under the name Macaca mulatta (Rhesus monkey). Its description in RNAcentral is "lncRNA (ENSMMUG00000057235.1)". Lineage: Eukaryota; Metazoa; Chordata; Mammalia; Primates; Cercopithecidae. The record is from RNAcentral.
UCUAGGUCUGAAAGAAUGUAAAAAGCCACAAGGAAGUCAACUGCUGCAAAUAAAAGAGAUGAAAAGCAUCCAACACACAGCAAAGACCAGAAUCAGGCUCCACUGUGACAUCAGGGACUAGGACGGAUGAAAACAGUGACUUCUGCCUAGGUCUGCUCUGUGAGCAGGGUAAGAGACCACUGUACAACCUGGAAAUGGGUCAGGCCACCCACUGGCAUGGAGGCUUCCUUCCAAUGCAUACUAAUAAAGAUGGCAGGCAUGGAGACUAUAGAAAGCUUCUCUCAGUGGUGCAGGCCUGGAGGAAGGAAAAGCUCCUUUCCACAGAAAAACCAGGAAGCCCCAGCUAGACCCUAGCCCUUAUAAAACAGAAGUCUUCAGCCCCUGGAGGAGCAUGUAGCAAACUAUUGCUCCCAGAGCACAGUGGAAGAAGACCUAUUACAGCUGAGAAAUGGAUAUGAAAAGGAGCCCUCUACCCUACAUUGCAGAUGAUGCCAGAUACAUCUGACAAAGUGUUGGAUUUUUCUUCUCUGAUGUCAGAUUUUAGAUCUUUUGCUUUUUUAAAAUAAAGAUAUAAUAAUGCAUAACAUUGAAUGACUUCUUGAAUGGUUUAACUUAAAUUUAACUAUCAAAUAAAAGGUUAGAGAGAUUUAGCCAACUGGUAGUGUUCUUACUCUUCAGAAAACCACCCUUUUCACUGUUGCUGUAUUAUUAUUUUGGCUUUUACUGCUGUUACUUUAAAAAAUUAUUAUUCAUUUAAUAUCAAUGACACAAUGCCCAUAUGCCUUCUUAUUAGCCUGCAUACUUAUCCACAUUUACAUGUUAUACUAUGACUAUAAAAAGGUAAUAUUCUCCGUCAUGUUAAAAACUUCUGUUAGGGUGAGAAAAGUGUAUUCCUAAACUAUCAAAGUCUUGAUCAUUCCCUGAAGAGAAUGCUGUACUACUGCUGACAUGAAAACAGGCUCACUUUUCUCCAAACUCUCCCUAAGUUUGACUCUCAGUAUAACUCCAGGCGCAAGUGAAUACUUCCCCAGUGGCUCUUCCCAGUUGUGAAGAGGCUGGGAAUGUUUGCAGGCCUCUCCCACUGAGACUGUUAUUUUAGCCUCAUUAUUAAAACAGGUUGUACUAUCUAAGUUGCUAGAUUGUUUAGAGGUUAAAUGAAAUAAUGAGGUAAGAAUUCAGAAUGAAACCAAUACCCAUUAGGAACUGUAAUUAAGGACUAUUUUUAUCCCAGCAAGUUAAAUGCCCUCAAUAGCUUGUUCUGAGUAUUAAGCAACUGGGAUUACACCCUGGAGGUUAACCUCAAGAGCCAAAUAUUUUCCUGCUAUUGCCUAGGGAGAAUUCACCACUAAAAAAUUACCUCAAAGAACCAAUCAAAACAGCAGAAGAAUUCAGGAAUGUACUCUCUAAAUGCUGUCUAAUAGUCUCGCCUGUAUUUCUAAGAUGGUAGCCUCAAAAAGUAUCAGUUUAACUGUGGCCCAUGCCCAUUUCAUUCUUGGUCACUGGACAAAUGUAAGAUGGCUCUAGUGAGCUACUUGCUCAAUCCUAGUAUUCACACACAACCAUGUGAUUUCUUCAUUUGCCUUUUUUUUUUUUUUUCAAAUUGAUGUUCCUUUCAAUCCAACCUUAAUUUCUCUAGAAUCCUAGUUUGUGGUAAAUAUAUUUAUCUACAUAUGAUUUACUUCAUGUUUUUUCAAACUCCCUACAUCAACUAAAACCAAGUUGGAACAUAGGUUCCCCUGAAGACAAGUCAAGUGGUGACUGUUCAUAUUCCUACACCCUGAUUCUGUUACCUCAGAGUGCAGAAAGGACAAAAUCUCUUAGCUCACCAUUGCUGCCUCCAGAUACAUUACUUUUUCUCUUAAAUGUAAAAUAUUUCCUCACUUGAUGCAUAAACAUUUGUCACCCAU